Molecule: non-coding RNA, 114 nt
Organism: Salmo salar (Atlantic salmon)
Lineage: Eukaryota; Metazoa; Chordata; Actinopteri; Salmoniformes; Salmonidae
Source: RefSeq, a predicted model, not a curated record
CGACUCUGGUUUCUCUUCAUUACGCUACAAACCUUUAGCCUUUUACUAAAGACUUCGUGGAAAGAAAUAUUAUACGGAGUUCACUAUUGGAAGGGCUUUGCUUCUGGCAGAGCC